AAUGGGCGAAAGCCUGAUCCAGCGAUGCCGCGUGAGUGAAGAAGGCCCUAGGGUUGUAAAGCUCUUUCGGUGGGGAAGAUAAUGACGGUACCCACAAAAGAAGCCCCGGCUAACUCCGUGCCAGCAGCCGCGGUAAUACGGAGGGGGCUAGCGUUACUCGGAAUUACUGGGCGUAAAGCGAGCGUAGGCGGUUAACUAAGUUGGGGGUGAAAGCCCGGGGCUCAACCCCGGAAAUGCCCUCAAAACUAGUUAGCUAGAGGACGGGAGAGGGGAGUGGAACUCCCAGUGUAGAGGUGAAAUUCGUAGAUAUUGGGAAGAACACCAGUGGCGAAGGCGACUCUCUGGACCGUUUCUGACGCUAAGGCUCGAAAGCGUGGGUAGCAAACAGGAUU
This 392-nucleotide ribosomal RNA is filed under the name uncultured Gammaproteobacteria bacterium. RNAcentral describes it as "bacterial SSU rRNA". It matches the Rfam family "Bacterial small subunit ribosomal RNA", at positions 370 to 779 of the family's 1533-position model. The record is from RNAcentral. Lineage: Bacteria; Pseudomonadati; Pseudomonadota; Gammaproteobacteria.